Molecule: small nuclear RNA, 110 nt
Filed under: Periophthalmus magnuspinnatus
Lineage: Eukaryota; Metazoa; Chordata; Actinopteri; Gobiiformes; Gobiidae
Source: RNAcentral
GUUUAUAUGUGUCGCUAAAACAUAUACUAAAAUUGGAACGAUACAGAGAAGAUUAGCACGGCCCCUGUUCAAGUGUUUUCAACAAAAAAAGUUAAGAGUGACUGAAACUU